CAAACGGACUCCGUUGCCAUCCAUUUGUUUUCGAUGAUGAAGCCUCCAAAUCGACGAUCGGCACCGUUGAACAUGAUCUAUACCACUUGAAGUGUUUAAAAAUCAAAUUUCGUGCAUUUUCGAUAUUGUUCUCUUACCCAUCGAGUGGACACAAAAAUGAAAGGCUGAAAUUGUAUAUUCUUUCAAAAAUGAUGAUAGAAGUCUUGUAAUCAAGAUCAAGAGUAUAGAUCUUGUUUUAAAUAGUUUAAAGAAUUUUCUAACAAAAAUUCAAUUGAUUUAGAUAUCUUUACGCCGUUAAACGAGAAAACGCUUCAUAUCGACCAUUAAAAUUAUAAAUUUUGAAACUCUUUGAUAAUUAGGCAAAUGAUGUCGAAAUGAUUUGAAAUUUGAUUUCUAAACACUUCAAGUGGUAUAGAUCAUAUUCAAUGGUGCCGAUCGUCGAUUUGGAGGCUCUAUCAUCGAAAACAAAUGGGUGGCAACGGAGCCCGUUUGCUAUCAAUAGUAUUCUAGCUCAACUCUAUAUAUAUAUAGAGAGAGAGAGAGAGAGUAGAACCACUAUGCUAUCAGAGUAUAGAGGAUAUGGUGAUUACGACUUUUUGACCCUUAAAUCAACCCCUUUGAUCAUUUCUAACCUUCAUAUUAAUACUAUUAUCAUAUUGGGACCACUCAACCCUAGAUAUACUACUCAACCCUAGCAAGGAUCGCAAUCAUCCCAACCGCUUAUAUAUACUAGAAAUUAAGAAAGAGAUACCACUUAUAUUUAAAGAAAUGGUUCUUUUCUUGCCACGCCAUAGCUA
RNAcentral lists this long non-coding RNA (797 nucleotides) under Ananas comosus (pineapple). RNAcentral describes it as "long non-coding RNA (ACOM_LNC030239)". Lineage: Eukaryota; Viridiplantae; Streptophyta; Magnoliopsida; Poales; Bromeliaceae. The record is from RNAcentral.